Molecule: ribosomal RNA, 497 nt
Filed under: uncultured bacterium
Lineage: Bacteria
Description: partial 16S ribosomal RNA
Rfam family: Bacterial small subunit ribosomal RNA
Source: RNAcentral
GAUGAACGCUGGCGGCGUGCCUAAUACAUGCGAGUCGAGCGAACAGACGAGGAGCUUGCUCCUCUGACGUUAGCGGCGGACGGGUGAGUAACACGUGGAUAACCUACCUAUAAGACUGGGAUAACUUCGGGAAACCGGAGCUAAUACCGGAUAAUAUAUUGAACCGCAUGGUUCAAUAGUGAAAGACGGUUUUGCUGUCACUUAUAGAUGGAUCCGCGCCGCAUUAGCUAGUUGGUAAGGUAACGGCUUACCAAGGCAACGAUGCGUAGCCGACCUGAGAGGGUGAUCGGCCACACUGGAACUGAGACACGGUCCAGACUCCUACGGGAGGCAGCAGUAGGGAAUCUUCCGCAAUGGGCGAAAGCCUGACGGAGCAACGCCGCGUGAGUGAUGAAGGUCUUCGGAUCGUAAAACUCCGUUAUUAGGGAAGAACAAAUGUGUAAGUAACUAUGCACGUCUUGACGGUACCUAAUCAGAAAGCCACGGCUAACUACGUG